This 234-nucleotide ribosomal RNA is filed under the name uncultured bacterium. RNAcentral describes it as "partial 16S ribosomal RNA". It matches the Rfam family "Bacterial small subunit ribosomal RNA", at positions 1267 to 1500 of the family's 1533-position model. The record is from RNAcentral.
AAAUACUCAAAAAAACAAAUCUCAGUUCAGACUGCAGGCUGCAACUCGCCUGCACGAAGUCGGAAUUGCUAGUAAUCGUAGGUCAGCAUACUACGGUGAAUACGUUCCCGGGCCUUGUACACACCGCCCGUCAAACCAUGAGAGUUGGCAACACCCGAAGUCGGUAGUCUAACCGCAAGGAGGACGCCGCCGAAGGUGGGGUUGAUGAUUAGGGUUAAGUCGUAACAAGGUAAC